GUGCACCAGGCGCGAAACCUCCGCAAUACACGAAAGUGUGACGGGGCCAUCCCGAGUGCCGUCCGCUGAGGACGGCUUUUCCCCAGUGUACACAGCUGGGGGAAUAAGGAGAGGGCAAGCCUGGUGUCAGCCGCCGCGGUAAUACCAGCUCUCCGAGUGGUGGGGACGCUUAUUGGGCCUAAAGCAUCCGUAGCCGGCUGGGCAAGUCCUCCGUUAAAUCCAACGAUUCAAUCGUUGGGCUGCGGGGGAUACUGUCCAGCUUGGGGGCGGGAGAGGCCGACGGUAUUCCCGGGGUAGGGGUGAAAUCCUAUAAUCCCGGGAGGACCACCAGUGGCGAAGGCUGUCGGCUAGAACGCGCCCGACGGUGAGGGAUGAAAGCUGGGGGAGCGAACCGGAUUAGAUACCCCUGUAGU
Molecule: ribosomal RNA, 413 nt
Filed under: uncultured microorganism
Description: bacterial SSU rRNA
Rfam family: Archaeal small subunit ribosomal RNA
Source: RNAcentral